GACGAACGCUGGCGGCGUGCUUAACACAUGCAAGUCGAACGGAAAGGCCCUGCUUUUUUGGGGUGCUCGAGUGGCGAACGGGUGAGUAACACGUGAGUAACCUGCCCUUGACUUUGGGAUAACUUCAGGAAACUGGGGCUAAUACCGGAUAGGAGCUCCCGCUGCAUGGUGGGGGUUGGAAAGUUUCGGCGGUUGGGGAUGGACGCGCGGCUCAUCAGCUUGUUGGUGGGGUAGUGGCUUACCAAGGCUUUGACGGGUAGCCGGCCUGAGAGGGUGACCGGCCACAUUAGGACUGAGAUACGGCCCAGACUCGUACGGGAGGCAACAGUGGGGAAUAUUACACAGUGGGCGGAAGCCUGAUGCGGCAACGCCGCGUGCGGGAUGACGGCCUUCGGGUUGUAAACCGCUUUCGCCUGUGACGAAGCGUGAGUGACGGUAAUGGGUGAAGAAGCACCGGCUAACUACGUG
RNAcentral lists this ribosomal RNA (468 nucleotides) under uncultured bacterium. RNAcentral's name for it is "partial 16S ribosomal RNA". It matches the Rfam family "Bacterial small subunit ribosomal RNA", at positions 28 to 507 of the family's 1533-position model. The record is from RNAcentral.